AUUGCGAGACUGCUUGCAGGCAGGGCAAUGUGAUCAUUAGGGAAUCUAACAGAUAUGAGUAAGUAGGGCGAUAGCCCGGAAUACGAAUAUCUGUAGCGUUUCGAGAGCCUGCAGGGCGGAGAAAUGCGUAGGG
This 133-nucleotide small RNA is filed under the name uncultured Acetatifactor sp. RNAcentral describes it as "Clostridiales-1 RNA". It matches the Rfam family "Clostridiales-1 RNA", at positions 25 to 159 of the family's 166-position model. Lineage: Bacteria; Bacillati; Bacillota; Clostridia; Lachnospirales; Lachnospiraceae. The record is from RNAcentral.